CCGGAAGUUGCCGUACCCCCGAGGCCUGGGCAGGUUGGCAGGGAGGAGGCCUACUCCUCGUAUCUUGCCAAGGCGUCAGCCAUGCCCUCCUCGUCCUCGCACAUCGGGGUUGCUGGUGCUUCUGCGUUAGCCUGCCAUCUCGGCGUUGGUCGAGGCCAGCGUGGGGAGGAGUGGCGGCUUCUUUUUUUUGCGAUCAUUUUUUUUUUUGCGAUCAGGAGGAGCGGCGGCUUCGGCGGUCGAGGCCAGCGAGGGGAGGAGCUGUGGCUGUGACGUUGGACAUGACCAGCGAGGGGAUGAGCGGUGGCGAAGAUUUUUGGGUUUCGGCUACCAUAUCCUGAUGGUGAUGAUGGGUCGAAUGAUGAAGCCCCUUUUGGUGCCUCCCUCGAUGUUGGUCAGAGUGGAAAGGACGAAGAUAGAUCAUCGCUAUGAACGAAUAUUAUGUGUGCUUUUCAUUUAAAAUGAUGAAGCUCCUUUUGGGUUGAAUUAUAGUGUGCUUACCAUGAACGAAUACCGGUUGUCGUUGAUGAUUAUGUGUUUUUUAAAUUAUGAUAUUUCGGUUCUAGAUUAUAAAUGAAUUAUUUUUGUAAUGUCCGAAAGUCUUUUUGGCUUUCGGUUAGGUGCCACUUUGGCCGUUAGAAGAGCAAAUUUGGUCCUCUAAAGGUUUUUUUGCCUUUGGGUUACAGAUGCUCUUAUGUGAAGAAAAGACUCGAAUAGUCAAUUUAUUUUGCAUGAAA
Lolium rigidum is the source of this 734-nucleotide long non-coding RNA. RefSeq lists it as uncharacterized. The record is from RefSeq and is a predicted model, not a curated record. Lineage: Eukaryota; Viridiplantae; Streptophyta; Magnoliopsida; Poales; Poaceae. The transcript has 2 exons.